GAUGAACGCUGGCGGCGUGCCUAAUACAUGCAAGUCGAGCGAACGGACGCGACUCUUGCUUUUCUGAUGUUAGCGACGGACGGGUGAGUAACACGUGGUUAACCUCCCUAUAAGACUUAGAUCACUUCAGGAAACCGGAGCUCAUACCGGAUCCUAUUUUUAACCGCAUGGUUCAAAAGUGUAAGACCGUCUUGCUGUCACUUCUCGAUGUAUCCGCGCUGCAUUAGCUAGUUGGUAUGGUAACGGCUUACCAAGGCAACGAUGCAUAGCCGACCUGAGAGGGUGGUCGGCCACACGGGAACGGAGACACGGUACAGACUCAGACGGGAGGCAGAAGUAGGGAAUCGGCCGCAAUGGGCGAAAGCGUGACGGAGCAACGACGCGGGAGUGAUGAAGGUCUUCGGAGCGUAAAACUCUGUGAGUAGGGAAGAACAUAUGUGUAAGUAACAGUGCACAUCUUGACGGUACCGAAUCAGAAAGCCACGGCUAACUACGUG
This 497-nucleotide ribosomal RNA is filed under the name uncultured bacterium. RNAcentral's name for it is "partial 16S ribosomal RNA". It matches the Rfam family "Bacterial small subunit ribosomal RNA", at positions 28 to 507 of the family's 1533-position model. The record is from RNAcentral.